CGUUUGACGUUAGCGACAGAAGAAGACACCGGACUAACUCCGUGCCAGCAGCCGCGGUAAUACGGAGGGUGCGAGACGUUAAUCGGAAUUACUGGGCGUAAAGCGCAUGCAGGUGGUUUGUUAAGUCAGAUGUGAAAGACCCGGGGCGUCAACCUACGGAAUAAGCAUUUAGUAAACGUAGGCAGACUAGAGUACUGUAGAGGGGGGUAGGAAUUUCAGGUGUAGCGGUGAAAAUGCGUAGAGAUCUGAAGGAAUACCGGUGGCGAAGGCGGCCCCCUCGGACAGAUACUGACACUCAGAUGCGAAAGCGUGGGGAGCAAACAGGAUUAGAUACCCUGGUAG
This 342-nucleotide ribosomal RNA is filed under the name uncultured bacterium. RNAcentral describes it as "bacterial SSU rRNA". It matches the Rfam family "Bacterial small subunit ribosomal RNA", at positions 466 to 793 of the family's 1533-position model. The record is from RNAcentral.